GAGCUGGGUGACUCGAAGCCUGGGUCUUGCACGGCGAUUCGAGUCUCUAAGUAAGACUAGGGAAGUGGUGCGCGCUUGACGCUCAGUUGUCAGUCGCCAAAUUGAUGGGAAUAUUAGCAACCUUUGUGCCGUUUACCCCGUGACUGCAGGUCUUUCCUAAAAUAGCUUUUGAGGUAGAACAACUGCAAAUGGAAAUAAUAGAGUCCAGUGAAAUGGCUGAUUCUCUAGGGGAAAACAGCCCGAUAUAGGGGUGGCCCGUGGUUCAGCCUGUCUAAUCCUCUGAUGUGUGCGUUUCCUUGCAGAUCUAGUUCCCUCAGAUUCUCCUAGUUGCUGACUCUAAGAAAGAGGAACUAGGAAACACGAACCAGUGGCCGUGGCAGGGCAGGCCUGGAGCUGUUUGGGCAAUAAAGGUCAUCUCUGUGGAGACAGACGGAAAAGGUAUACAUAUGGGAAGCCAGUGAAAGGAGAUAUAAUGCUUACAUUUUUACCUCUGUCGUUUUGGGGAGAGAAGAAAAAUAUUACAAAAAAAUUUAAGGUCAAGGCCACCCGUUCUGAUACCAAUCGACUGACUCCUGAAGAAAGAAACAAUAAUGUAGUAAUAGCAGUGACACAGAGGAACAUACCAGUUCCUGGACCAGGUGGAGCAGUGGAAAUCAGGAA
This 660-nucleotide long non-coding RNA is filed under the name Castor canadensis (American beaver). RNAcentral describes it as "lncRNA (ENSCCNG00000006579.1)". Lineage: Eukaryota; Metazoa; Chordata; Mammalia; Rodentia; Castoridae. The record is from RNAcentral.